RNAcentral lists this ribosomal RNA (58 nucleotides) under Colletotrichum magnum. RNAcentral describes it as "partial 28S ribosomal RNA". The record is from RNAcentral. Lineage: Eukaryota; Fungi; Ascomycota; Sordariomycetes; Glomerellales; Glomerellaceae.
GUUGACCUCGGAUCAGGUAGGAACAGUGACUGAACUUAAGCAUAUCAAUAACGGAAAG